This 380-nucleotide ribosomal RNA is filed under the name uncultured eukaryote. Its description in RNAcentral is "partial 18S ribosomal RNA". It matches the Rfam family "Eukaryotic small subunit ribosomal RNA", at positions 592 to 976 of the family's 1831-position model. The record is from RNAcentral.
CAAUAGCGUAUAUUAAAGUUGUUGCGGUUAAAAAGCUCGUAGUUGGAUUUCUGCUGAGGAUGACCGGUCCGCCCUCUGGGCAGGUAUCUGGCUCAGCCUUGGCAUCUUCCUGAAGAACGCAGCUGCACUUGACUGUGUGGUGCGGUAUUUAGGACAUUUACUUUGAGGAAAUUAGAGUGUUUCAAGCAAGCGCACGCCUUGAAUACAUUAGCAUGGAAUAAUAAGAUAGGACCUCGGUUCUAUUUUGUUGGUUUCUAGAACUGAGGUAAUGAUUGAUAGGGAUAGUUGGGGGCAUUCGUAUUUAACUGUCAGAGGUGAAAUUCUUGGAUUUGUUAAAGACGGACUACUGUGAAAGCAUUUGCCAAGGAUGUUUUCAUUGA